UACAGAGGCCUCGAGCGUUAGGCGGAAUCACUGGGCUUAAAGCGUGUGUAGGUGGAUGCCUAAGUACCUUGUGAAAUCCCACGGCUUAACCGUGGAACUGCUUGGUAUACUGGGUGUCUUGAGCCACUCAGGGGCUACCGGAACAAAUGGUGGAGCGGUGAAAUGCGUAGAUAUCAUUUGGAACGCCAAUGGUGAAAACAGGUAGCUGGGGGUGUGCUGACACUGACGCUCAGGCACGAAAGCGUGGGGAGCAAACGGG
RNAcentral lists this ribosomal RNA (259 nucleotides) under uncultured bacterium. RNAcentral's name for it is "partial 16S ribosomal RNA". It matches the Rfam family "Bacterial small subunit ribosomal RNA", at positions 524 to 776 of the family's 1533-position model. The record is from RNAcentral.